Molecule: ribosomal RNA, 467 nt
Filed under: uncultured bacterium
Lineage: Bacteria
Description: partial 16S ribosomal RNA
Rfam family: Bacterial small subunit ribosomal RNA
Source: RNAcentral
GACGAACGCUGGCGGCGUGCUUAACACAUGCAAGUCGAACGGAAAGACCCUGCUUUUGUGGGGUGCUCGAGUGGCGAACGGGUGAGUAACACGUGAGUAACCUGCCCUUGACUUUGGGAUAACUUCAGGAAACUGGGGCUAAUACCGGAUAGGAGCUCCUGCUGCAUGGUGGGGGUUGGAAAGUUUCGGCGGUUGGGGAUGGACUCGCGGCUUAUCAGCUUGUUGGUGGGGUAGUGGCUUACCAAGGCUUUGACGGGUAGCCGGCCUGAGAGGGUGACCGGCCACGUUGGGACUGAGAUACGGCCCAGACUCCUACGGGAGGCAGCAGUGGGGAAUAUUGCACAAUGGGCGGAAGCCUGAUGCAGCAACGCCGCGUGCGGGAUGACGGCCUUCGGGUUGUAAACCGCUUUCGCCUGUGACGAAGCGUGAGUGACGGUAAUGGGUAAAGAAGCACCGGCUAACUACGU